UUUCCAAGGCCUCCAUUUACUGAGCAAGU
This 29-nucleotide non-coding RNA is filed under the name Mus musculus (house mouse). The record is from RNAcentral. Lineage: Eukaryota; Metazoa; Chordata; Mammalia; Rodentia; Muridae.